This 76-nucleotide transfer RNA is filed under the name Clostridiaceae bacterium. RNAcentral's name for it is "tRNA-Lys". It matches the Rfam family "tRNA". Rfam says of the family: Transfer RNA (tRNA) molecules are approximately 80 nucleotides in length. Their secondary structure includes four short double-helical elements and three loops (D, anti-codon, and T loops). Further hydrogen bonds mediate the characteristic L-shaped molecular structure. tRNAs have two regions of fundamental functional importance: the anti-codon, which is responsible for specific mRNA codon recognition, and the 3' end, to which the tRNAs corresponding amino acid is attached (by aminoacyl-tRNA synthetases). tRNAs cope with the degeneracy of the genetic code in two manners: having more than one tRNA (with a specific anti-codon) for a particular amino acid; and 'wobble' base-pairing, i.e. permitting non-standard base-pairing at the 3rd anti-codon position. Lineage: Bacteria; Bacillati; Bacillota; Clostridia; Eubacteriales; Clostridiaceae. The record is from RNAcentral.
GAUCCACUAGCUCAGUAGGUAGAGCACUUGACUUUUAAUCAAGGGGUCCGGGGUUCGAUCCCCCGGUGGAUCACCA